This 77-nucleotide transfer RNA is filed under the name Limisphaerales bacterium. Its description in RNAcentral is "Verrucomicrobia subdivision 3 bacterium (hot springs metagenome) tRNA-Phe". It matches the Rfam family "tRNA". Rfam says of the family: Transfer RNA (tRNA) molecules are approximately 80 nucleotides in length. Their secondary structure includes four short double-helical elements and three loops (D, anti-codon, and T loops). The record is from RNAcentral. Lineage: Bacteria; Pseudomonadati; Verrucomicrobiota; Verrucomicrobiia; Limisphaerales.
GGCUGGGUAGCUCAGGUCGGUAGAGCAGAGGACUGAAAAUCCUUGUGUCGGCGGUUCGAUUCCGCCCUCAGCCACCA